RNAcentral lists this unclassified non-coding RNA (310 nucleotides) under fungal sp. Its description in RNAcentral is "partial internal transcribed spacer region". Lineage: Eukaryota; Fungi. The record is from RNAcentral.
CUUGGUCAUUUAUUGACGAGUUGUAGGUCGGUACUUUAACGCGUACUUCUUCUACGGUUUGGCCCGUCCCAGACCAAAUUGAUCGCCAGUCUCGAUCGGCAUUCCAUUGGCGAAGUCAAUCUCCAUCAUUUUCUCGCUAUGGACUGGAUGUCCGUCCUCGUCACUUAACGCGGCUAUGAUCUUUCGACUCUUGGCGUCGAUUACUUCCCCAGUGGAAAGAUACGCGACCGCUCCGUCGAUUGAGAACGUGAUCCAGCCAGGCUGAUCGCGCAAUUCAAUGCUUGGGCCCUGCUGCGGCGGCGAGACGGUU